RNAcentral lists this ribosomal RNA (164 nucleotides) under Camellia granthamiana. Its description in RNAcentral is "5.8S ribosomal RNA". It matches the Rfam family "5.8S ribosomal RNA". Rfam says of the family: 5.8S ribosomal RNA (5.8S rRNA) is a component of the large subunit of the eukaryotic ribosome. It is transcribed by RNA polymerase I as part of the 45S precursor that also contains 18S and 28S rRNA. Functionally, it is thought that 5.8S rRNA may be involved in ribosome translocation. The record is from RNAcentral. Lineage: Eukaryota; Viridiplantae; Streptophyta; Magnoliopsida; Ericales; Theaceae.
UAAACGACUCUCGGCAACGGAUAUCUCGGCUCUCGCAUCGAUGAAGAACGUAGCGAAAUGCGAUACUUGGUGUGAAUUGCAGAAUCCCGCGAACCAUCGAGUCUUUGAACGCAAGUUGCGCCCGAAGCCAUUAGGUUGAGGGCACGUCUGCCUGGGCGUCUCGG